AUGCAAGUAGAACGCUGAAGGAGGAGCUUGCUCUCUCUGGAUGAGUUGCGAACGGGUGAGUAACGCGUAGGUAACCUGCCUGGUAGCGGGGGAUAACUAUUGGAAACGAUAGCUAAUACCGCAUAACAGUAGAUGUUGCAUGACAUUUGCUUAAAAGGUGCAAUUGCAUCACUACCAGAUGGACCUGCGUUGUAUUAGCUAGUUGGUGGGGUAACGGCUCACCAAGGCGACGAUACAUAGCCGACCUGAGAGGGUGAUCGGCCACACUGGGACUGAGACACGGCCCAAACUCCUACGGGAGGCAGCAGUAGGGAAUCUUCGGCAAUGGGCGGAAGUCUGACCGAGCAACGCCGCGUGAGUGAAGAAGGUUUUCGGAUCGUAAAGCUCUGUUGUAAGAGAAGAACGAGUGUGAGAGUGGAAAGUUCACACUGUGACGGUAUCUUACCAGAAAGGGACGGCUAACUACGUGCCAGCAGCCGCGGUAAUACGUAGGUCCCGAGCGUUGUCCGGAUUUAUUGGGCGUAAAGCGAGCGCAGGCGGUUAGAUAAGUCUGAAGUUAAAGGCUGUGGCUUAACCAUAGUACGCUUUGGAAACUGUUUAACUUGAGUGCAAGAGGGGAGAGUGGAAUUCCAUGUGUAGCGGUGAAAUGCGUAGAUAUAUGGAGGAACACCGGUGGCGAAAGCGGCUCUCUGGCUUGUAACUGACGCUGAGGCUCGAAAGCGUGGGGAGCAAACAGGAUUAGAUACCCUGGUAGUCCACGCCGUAAACGAUGAGUGCUAGGUGUUAGACCCUUUCCGGGGUUUAGUGCCGUAGCUAACGCAUUAAGCACUCCGCCUGGGGAGUACGACCGCAAGGUUGAAACUCAAAGGAAUUGACGGGGGCCCGCACAAGCGG
Molecule: ribosomal RNA, 894 nt
Filed under: uncultured bacterium
Lineage: Bacteria
Description: bacterial SSU rRNA
Rfam family: Bacterial small subunit ribosomal RNA
Source: RNAcentral